Molecule: long non-coding RNA, 684 nt
Filed under: Brassica rapa (field mustard)
Lineage: Eukaryota; Viridiplantae; Streptophyta; Magnoliopsida; Brassicales; Brassicaceae
Description: long non-coding RNA (BRAP_LNC001172)
Source: RNAcentral
GGCUUUUUAUAUAUAAAGAAGAUGUCAAUAUAUAUACAUAUAUAUGCAUAUAUACAAGAAAUUAGUUUUUUUUUCUAAUUAAAUGAAAUUCAAAAUGGUACAAGACCAUAUCCUUAACUUCUGGAAACAUGUUCUAAUCAACCGACUACUGUAGACCGACAUUGAACUGCCGAGGGAAGCCACAUCGCUGAAGCAGAAUCUCACCGCCACCGACUGCCACAUCGUAAGACAGAGGGCUGGGUCGUCAUCGUAAUAGUUCCCCUCCACCGGAGGAGAGAGAGUUCCAUUUUGAACCGAAUGCAGAAGCGGACCUUGAAAGCGGCUCUUCUCAAAACGCCGAGAGAGAGUUAUCUGAAAUAGAAAAAAGUUAGAUCCACCGAAGCAGACCCAAGGAGAUCCUCCGUUGCUGGGAAGAACUAGAUACCACACGCGCAGCCGAGAAAGGAGGAAGGGUCGUUGACCAGAUGACACCACCACUCCACUUGAAACGCCCACCCCCCAAAGAGAACCUAUGGGGGUUUCUUGAAACUCUAGAGCAGACAAGAACCCCACUCGUCACAGUGUUGGAAUGACAAACUUUGUUAAAAUGAAGAAAGUGUUUAAGUAUUUGAAGAGAGAUAAACUUUGUUAAGAAAAAAGCUUUUAAUAACUUAGAAGAGAAUUUCUUAUUACUUGAAAGUUUCC